This is a long non-coding RNA of Astyanax mexicanus (Mexican tetra), 611 nucleotides long. RefSeq lists it as uncharacterized. The transcript is spliced from 3 exons. Lineage: Eukaryota; Metazoa; Chordata; Actinopteri; Characiformes; Acestrorhamphidae. The record is from RefSeq and is a predicted model, not a curated record.
UCUGAUUGGCUGCAGUCGAAAUUGACACAUGCUCCGCCCUUUAGCCACGCCCACUGGUGCUCAGGCCUGCAGCAUUACCCUUUUCUAAUAUGGGUGCAGCUAAUCGCGUUACGGCUGCGUCACCGGUGUUACGUAAGCACGCAGCCCUCGCCUCGAGCUCCAGCAGGCUAAUAUAAAUAAUGAUUUAUUUAUGUUCAGGAGAGAAACUGCGGCGGAGCUGGAGGAACAGCAGCCCACCUGAGAGGAGCUUCAGACCGGCCCUGAGGUGCGGGUAACGAGGGAGAUGAGGGAGGGGAGGAUGAAGAAGAGAUGAGAAGCUAAAAGGAGGAAGAGCAAGACAACAGCGAGUCCACGGAUGAAGACUACAGGCGGAGGAUGAGGAUGAGGAAGAGGAGGAAGCCUAAUAACGAUUCAUCUCCUGUCAUCACUAAGCCUGCACUGCACUUGUCCUGAAACACCAGCCAGCGUUCUCAAAAACGAAGCUUUCUGAGCGACGCCAAAGAAGAACCACUUUGUUUUAUUUUUAAAUGGGAUUUGGGUGUGAAGAACUUUUUACUCUGGUAAAGAACCUUUAUGUAUAGUUAAGAGAAAAUUAAACCAUGUGACUCUUU